Molecule: ribosomal RNA, 429 nt
Filed under: Chloroflexota bacterium
Lineage: Bacteria; Bacillati; Chloroflexota
Description: Chloroflexi bacterium partial 16S ribosomal RNA
Rfam family: Bacterial small subunit ribosomal RNA
Source: RNAcentral
UGGGGAAUAUUGCACAAUGGGCGCAAGCCUGAUGCAGCCAUGCCGCGUGUAUGAAGAAGGCCUUCGGGUUGUAAAGUACUUUCAGCGGGGAGGAAGGGAGUAAAGUUAAUACCUUUGCUCAUUGACGUUACCCGCAGAAGAAGCACCGGCUAACUCCGUGCCAGCAGCCGCGGUAAUACGGAGGGUGCAAGCGUUAAUCGGAAUUACUGGGCGUAAAGCGCACGCAGGCGGUUUGUUAAGUCAGAUGUGAAAUCCUCGGGCUCAACCUGGGAACCGCAUCUGAUACUGGCAAGCUUGAGUCUCGUAGAGGGGGGUAGAAUUCCAGGUGUAGCGGUGAAAUGCGUAGAGAUCUGGAGGAAUACCGGUGGCGAAGGCGGCCCCCUGGACGAAGACUGACGCUCAGGUGCGAAAGCGUGGGGAGCAAACAGG